GAUGAACGCUGGCGGCGUGCUUAACACAUGCAAGUCGAACGGAGAAAGGGUAGCUUGCUAUCUUUCUUAGUGGCGGACGGGUGAGUAACGCGUGGGUAACCUGCCCUUUGCAGGGGGAUAACAGUGAGAAAUCACUGCUAAUACCGCAUACCAACUUCUUUCGCAUGAAAGAAGUUUGAAAGAUUUAUCGGCAAAGGAUGGACCCGCGUCCCAUUAGCUAGUUGGUGAGGUAACGGCCCACCAAGGCGACGAUGGGUAGCCGGCCUGAGAGGGUGGACGGCCACACUGGGACUGAGACACGGCCCAGACUCCUACGGGAGGCAGCAGUCGGGAAUCUUCCACAAUGGGCGAAAGCCUGAUGGAGCGACGCCGCGUGAGGGAUGACGGCCUUCGGGUUGUAAACCUCUUUCAGCAGGGAAGAAGCGAAAGUGACGGUACCUGCAGAAGAAGCACCGGCUAACUACGUG
RNAcentral lists this ribosomal RNA (467 nucleotides) under uncultured bacterium. RNAcentral describes it as "bacterial SSU rRNA". It matches the Rfam family "Bacterial small subunit ribosomal RNA", at positions 28 to 507 of the family's 1533-position model. The record is from RNAcentral.